RNAcentral lists this ribosomal RNA (1151 nucleotides) under Snodgrassella alvi. RNAcentral's name for it is "bacterial SSU rRNA". It matches the Rfam family "Bacterial small subunit ribosomal RNA", at positions 1 to 1139 of the family's 1533-position model. Lineage: Bacteria; Pseudomonadati; Pseudomonadota; Betaproteobacteria; Neisseriales; Neisseriaceae. The record is from RNAcentral.
AGAUUAAACAUAAGAGUUUGAUCCUGGCUCAGAUUGAACGCUGGCGGCAUGCUUUACACAUGCAAGUCGAACGGCAGCACGGAGAGCUUGCUCUCUGGUGGCGAGUGGCGAACGGGUGAGUAAUGCAUCGGAACGUACCGAGUAAUGGGGGAUAACUGUCCGAAAGGAUGGCUAAUACCGCAUACGCCCUGAGGGGGAAAGCGGGGGAUCUUAGUGACCUCGCGUUAUUUGAGCGGCCGAUGUUGGAUUAGCUAGUUGGUGGGGUAAAGGCCUACCAAGGCGACGAUCCAUAGCGGGUCUGAGAGGAUGAUCCGCCACAUUGGGACUGAGACACGGCCCAAACUCCUACGGGAGGCAGCAGUGGGGAAUUUUGGACAAUGGGGGGAACCCUGAUCCAGCCAUGCCGCGUGUCUGAAGAAGGCCUUCGGGUUGUAAAGGACUUUUGUUAGGGAAGAAAAGCCGGGUGUUAAUACCACCUGGUGCUGACGGUACCUAAAGAAUAAGCACCGGCUAACUACGUGCCAGCAGCCGCGGUAAUACGUAGGGUGCGAGCGUUAAUCGGAAUUACUGGGCGUAAAGCGAGCGCAGACGGUUAAUUAAGUCAGAUGUGAAAUCCCCGAGCUCAACUUGGGACGUGCAUUUGAAACUGGUUAACUAGAGUGUGUCAGAGGGAGGUAGAAUUCCACGUGUAGCAGUGAAAUGCGUAGAGAUGUGGAGGAAUACCGAUGGCGAAGGCAGCCUCCUGGGAUAACACUGACGUUCAUGCUCGAAAGCGUGGGUAGCAAACAGGAUUAGAUACCCUGGUAGUCCACGCCCUAAACGAUGACAAUUAGCUGUUGGGACACUAGAUGUCUUAGUAGCGAAGCUAACGCGUGAAAUUGUCCGCCUGGGGAGUACGGUCGCAAGAUUAAAACUCAAAGGAAUUGACGGGGACCCGCACAAGCGGUGGAUGAUGUGGAUUAAUUCGAUGCAACGCGAAGAACCUUACCUGGUCUUGACAUGUACGGAAUCUCUUAGAGAUAGGAGAGUGCCUUCGGGAGCCGUAACACAGGUGCUGCAUGGCUGUCGUCAGCUCGUGUCGUGAGAUGUUGGGUUAAGUCCCGCAACGAGCGCAACCCUUGUCAUUAGUUGCCAUCAUUAAGUUGGGCACU